This 300-nucleotide ribosomal RNA is filed under the name uncultured Bellilinea sp. Its description in RNAcentral is "bacterial SSU rRNA". It matches the Rfam family "Bacterial small subunit ribosomal RNA", at positions 496 to 795 of the family's 1533-position model. Lineage: Bacteria; Bacillati; Chloroflexota; Anaerolineae; Anaerolineales; Anaerolineaceae. The record is from RNAcentral.
GCUAACGACGUGCCAGCAGCCGCGGUAAAACGUAGGAUCCGAGCGUUAUCCGAAUUCACUGGGCGUAAAGCGCAUGCAGGCGGCCGAGCAAGUUGGAUGUGAAAGCUCCCGGCUCAACUGGGAGAGGACGUACAAGACUGUUCGGCUCGAGGACGGUAGAGGGAGGUGGAAUUCCCGGUGUAGUGGUGAAAUGCGUAGAUAUCGGGAGGAACACCAGAGGCGAAGGCGGCCUCCUGGACCGGACCUGACGCUCAGAUGCGAAAGCUAGGGGAGCGAACGGGAUUAGAUACCCCUGUAGUC